UUUCCGUAGGUGAACCUGCGGAAGGAUCAUUAACACGAAUCCCCUUUCUUAUAUAAACCACUUUACUCGCUCGCCGAAAGGCGGGUGGCGAACUAUGAAGGCUUUCUUCCGGAGCAGAAAAGAGAAGCGCCUCACGGUGUUUGUCUUUUUUGCGAUGGCUCUGCGUAAGAUGGAUAGAUGACAGCAGAGAGCGGGAAGUCGGUCGGCCGGCGCCUUGCAGCGCUUGUCGGCUAAAUUACGGUCAUUUGUCUACCUUAUUAAACCCCACUUAUACCUUUUUGUCGAAAACUCUAUAAUCCCUUUUGUUGCUUAACGGCGAUGAAAGGCCUUAUAAAAACCUAUACAACUUUUAGCAAUGGAUGUCUAGGCUCUC
RNAcentral lists this unclassified non-coding RNA (373 nucleotides) under soil metagenome. RNAcentral describes it as "partial contains small subunit ribosomal RNA, internal transcribed spacer 1, and 5.8S ribosomal RNA". The record is from RNAcentral.